UGCAAGUCGAGCGGACAGAUGGGAGCUUGCUCCCUGAUGUUAGCGGCGGACGGGUGAGUAACACGUGGGUAACCUGCCUGUAAGACUGGGAUAACUCCGGGAAACCGGGGCUAAUACCGGAUGGUUGUUUGAACCGCAUGGUUCAAACAUAAAAGGUGGCUUCGGCUACCACUUACAGAUGGACCCGCGGCGCAUUAGCUAGUUGGUGAGGUAAUGGCUCACCAAGGCAACGAUGCGUAGCCGACCUGAGAGGGUGAUCGGCCACACUGGGACUGAGACACGGCCCAGACUCCUACGGGAGGCAGCAGUAGGGAAUCUUCCGCAAUGGACGAAAGUCUGACGGAGCAACGCCGCGUGAGUGAUGAAGGUUUUCGGAUCGUAAAGCUCUGUUGUUAGGGAAGAACAAGUACCGUUCGAAUAGGGCGGUACCUUGACGGUACCUAACCAGAAAGCCACGGCUAACUACGUGCCAGCAGCCGCGGUAAUACGUAGGUGGCAAGCGUUGUCCGGAAUUAUUGGGCGUAAAGGGCUCGCAGGCGGUUUCUUAAGUCUGAUGUGAAAGCCCCCGGCUCAACCGGGGAGGGUCAUUGGAAACUGGGGAACUUGAGUGCAGAAGAGGAGAGUGGAAUUCCACGUGUAGCGGUGAAAUGCGUAGAGAUGUGGAGGAACACCAGUGGCGAAGGCGACUCUCUGGUCUGUAACUGACGCUGAGGAGCGAAAGCGUGGGGAGCGAACAGGAUUAGAUACCCUGGUAGUCCACGCCGUAAACGAUGAGUGCUAAGUGUUAGGGGGUUUCCGCCCCUUAGUGCUGCAGCUAACGCAUUAAGCACUCC
This 833-nucleotide ribosomal RNA is filed under the name Bacillus sp. AUBB37. Its description in RNAcentral is "bacterial SSU rRNA". It matches the Rfam family "Bacterial small subunit ribosomal RNA", at positions 56 to 870 of the family's 1533-position model. Lineage: Bacteria; Bacillati; Bacillota; Bacilli; Caryophanales; Bacillaceae. The record is from RNAcentral.